This is a small nucleolar RNA of Tachyglossus aculeatus (Australian echidna), 138 nucleotides long. The record is from RefSeq and is a predicted model, not a curated record. Lineage: Eukaryota; Metazoa; Chordata; Mammalia; Monotremata; Tachyglossidae.
ACCCUCUCAGAGUCACACUUGGAGAAUUUCCAGUAUUCUACCAGUCUAGACAACGGGAGGGAGAGUUAAGCAGAAGCAUGUCCAUUCCAUUCCUAACUUGGGCAGUGGUUAGUGAGUGGAAGGCAACAUGCUACAAGU